RNAcentral lists this ribosomal RNA (1752 nucleotides) under freshwater metagenome. RNAcentral describes it as "bacterial LSU rRNA". It matches the Rfam family "Bacterial large subunit ribosomal RNA", at positions 907 to 2533 of the family's 2925-position model. The record is from RNAcentral.
GCUACUGGAUGGUCGAGGGGCCCUACAAGGUUACCAACAUCAGCCAAACUCCGAAUGCCGGUAAGUGAGAACGUAGCAGUGAGACAGUGGGGGAUAAUCUUCAUUGUCGAGAGGGAAACAACCCAGAGUAGCAACUAAGGUCCCAAAGCGUGUGCUAAGUGGAAAAGGAUGUGAAGUCGCAUAGACAACCAGGAGGUUGGCUUAGAAGCAGCCACCCUUAAAAAAGUGCGUAAUAGCUUACUGGUCAAGUGAUUUCGCGCCGACAAUGUAACGGGGCUCAAGCACACCACCGAAGUUCUAUCAUUCACACACUAUCCCGGUCGUAAGAUCCAGGAGUGUGGAUGGGUAGGAGAGCGUCGUGUAGCUGGUGAAGCGGCGGAGGAAUCCAGCCGUGGAAGCUACACGAGUGAGAAUGUAGACAUGAGUAGCGAGAGUUGGGUGAGAAACCCAACCGCCGAAAGACCAAGGGUUCCUGGGCCAGGCUAAUCCGCCCAGGGUAAGUCGGGACCUAAGACGAGGCCGUCAGGCGUAGUCGAUGGACAACGGGUUGAUAUUCCCGUACCCGCGUAAGUUCGCCCAUGACGAACCUUCUAAUGCUAAGUCUUCGAAGCUGUAUUGGCGUAAGUCGAUAUGGUGGAGGGGACGACCCGGUGAAGUAGUAGUUAAGCAAUGGUGUGACACAGGAAGGCAGUCCAACCCGGGCGAUGGUUGUCCCGGGGUAAGAGUGUAGGGAGUUAUGUAGGAAAAUCCGCAUAACGUUUAACUGAGACUCGAUGCCGAGCCGAAUGGCGAAGUGGAUGAUCCUAUGCUGUCAAGAAAAGCAUCUAGCGAGAACUUAAGUGGCCCGUACCCGAAACCGACACAGGUGGUCAGGUAGAGAAUACCAAGGCGAUCGAGAGAAUCGUGGAUAAGGAACUCGGCAAAAUACCCCCGUAACUUCGGGAGAAGGGGGGCCAAUUUACGUGUAGGAGUUUUCCUCCGAAGCGUGAGUCGGCCGCAGAGACUAGGCUCAAGCGACUGUUUACCAAAAACACAGGUCCGUGCGAAGUUGCAAAACGAUGUAUACGGACUGACGCCUGCCCGGUGCUGGAAGGUUAAGGGGACUGGUUAGCCGCAAGGCGAAGCUGAGAACUUAAGCCCCAGUAAACGGCGGUGGUAACUAUAACCAUCCUAAGGUAGCGAAAUUCCUUGUCGGGUAAGUUCCGACCUGCACGAAUGGCGUAACGACUUGAGCGCUGUCUCAUCCGCGAACUCGGCGAAAUUGCAGUACGAGUAAAGAUGCUCGUUUAGCGCAGAAAGACGGAAAGACCCCGGGACCUUUACUAUACCUUGACAUUGGUACUCGGAACGGUUUGUGUAGCAUAGGUGGGAGACUUUGAAGCUGGGACGCCAGUCCUGGUGGAGUCAUCGUUGAAAUACCACUCUGAUCGUUUUGAGUUUCUAACCUCGGUCCGUGAUCCGGAUCAGGGACAGUGUCUGGCGGGUAGUUUGACUGGGGCGGUCGCCUCCCAAAAAGUAACGGAGGCGCUCAAAGGUUCCCUCAGCCUGGUUGGCAAUCAGGUGUUGAGUGUAAGUGCACAAGGGAGCUUAACUGUGAGACAGACAUGUCGAGCAGGUACGAAAGUAGGAACUAGUGAUCCGGCGGUGGCUUGUGGAAGCGCCGUCGCUCAACGGAUAAAAGGUACCCCGGGGAUAACAGGCUGAUCUUGCCCAAGAGUCCAUAUCGACGGCAAGGUUUGGCACCUCGAUGUC